Molecule: ribosomal RNA, 1270 nt
Filed under: metagenome
Description: SSU rRNA
Rfam family: Eukaryotic small subunit ribosomal RNA
Source: RNAcentral
AAUGCGGGACUCUAAGAGGCCCCGUAAUUGGAAUGAGUACACCUUAAAUCGUUUAACGAUUCAAUUGGAGGGCAAGUCUGGUGCCAGCAGCCGCGGUAAUUCCAGCUCCAAUAGCGUAUAUUAAAGUUGCUGCAGUUAAAAAGCUCGUAGUUGGAUCUGGGGCUUGAGGUCGCUGUCUAUCGUUUCGGCGAUGACGGUGAUGCUCAGCUCUGCUUGCCGGUGACUGUUGCGGUGUUCUUCACUGAGCGCUGUAGCAGCACGGCACGUUUACUUUGAAAAAAUUAGAGUGCUCAAAGCGUGCUUGUCGCUUGAAUAAUGUUGCAUGGAAUAAUGGAAUAGGACCUCGGUUCUAUUUUGUUGGUUUUCGGAGCUUGAGGUAAUGAUUAAGAGGGACGAACGGGGGCAUUCGUAUUGCGGUGUUAGAGGUGAAAUUCUUGGAUCGCCGCAAGACGGACUACUGCGAAAGCAUUUGCCAAGAACGCUUUCAUUAAUUAAGAACGAAAGUCAGAGGUUCGAAGACGAUCAGACACCGUCCUAGUUCUGACCAUAAACGAUGCCGACCAGCGAUCCGUAGUGGUUGCUUUAUGGACCCUACGGGCAGCCUCCGGGAAACCAAAGUAUUUGGGUUCCGGGGGAAGUAUGGUUGCAAAGCUGAAACUUAAAGGAAUUGACGGAGGGGCACACCAGGAGUGGAGCCUGCGGCUUAAUUUGACACAACACGGGAAAACUCACCCGGUCCGGACACCGUAAGGAUUGACAGACUGAUAGCUCUUUCUUGAUUCGGUGGAUGGUGGUGCAUGGCCGUUCUUAGUUGGUGGAGUGAUUUGUCUGGUUAAUUCCGAUAACGAACGAGACUCUAGCCUGCUAAGUAGUGUUGCUAUUGUUAUAUGGUUGACACUUCUUAGAGGGACAAGUGGCAUUUAGCCACGCGAAAUUGAGCAAUAACAGGUCUGUGAUGCCCUUAGAUGUCCGGGGCCGCACGCGCGCUACACUGGAGAAGUCAGCGUGUGUUAUCCAAGUCCGAAAGGACUGGGUAAUCCGUUGAACCUUCUUCGUGCUUGGGACUGUGGCUUGGAACUAUUCCACAUGAACGAGGAAUUCCUAGUAAUUGCAAGUCAUAAGCUUGCGUUGAUUACGUCCCUGCCCUUUGUACACACCGCCCGUCGCUACUACCGAUUGAAUGGUUUAGCAAGGUCCUCGGAUCGUGGCCGUAGGGGCACGCAAGUGUUUCUGCGGUUUGCGAGAAGACGACCAAACUUGAUCAUUUAGA